UAUCAGCUUGUUGGUGAGGUAAUGGCUCACCAAGGCGUCGACGGGUAGCCGGCCUGAGAGGGUGACCGGCCACACUGGGACUGAGACACGGCCCAGACUCCUACGGGAGGCAGCAGUGGGGAAUAUUGCACAAUGGGCGCAAGCCUGAUGCAGCAACGCCGCGUGAGGGAUGACGGCCUUCGGGUUGUAAACCUCUUUUAGCAGGGAAGAAGCGAGAGUGACGGUACCUGCAGAAAAAGCACCGGCUAACUACGUGCCAGCAGCCGCGGUAAUACGUAGGGUGCAAGCGUUAUCCGGAAUUAUUGGGCGUAAAGAGCUCGUAGGCGGUUUGUCGCGUCUGCUGUGAAAUCUGGGGGCUCAACCCCCAGCCUGCAGUGGGUACGGGCAGACUAGAGUGCGGUAGGGGAGAUUGGAAUUCCUGGUGUAGCGGUGGAAUGCGCAGAUAUCAGGAGGAACACCGAUGGCGAAGGCAGAUCUCUGGGCCGUAACUGACGCUGAGGAGCGAAAGGGUGGGGAGCAAACAGGCUUAGAUACCCUGGUAGUCCACCCCGUAAACGUUGGGAACUAGUUGUGGGGUCCAUUCCACGGAUUCCGUGACGCAGCUAACGCAUUAAGUCCCCGCCU
This 624-nucleotide ribosomal RNA is filed under the name bacterium '090306-Superparmix III-3E+04'. Its description in RNAcentral is "bacterial SSU rRNA". It matches the Rfam family "Bacterial small subunit ribosomal RNA", at positions 239 to 874 of the family's 1533-position model. The record is from RNAcentral.